RNAcentral lists this ribosomal RNA (3915 nucleotides) under Nyramonas silfraensis. RNAcentral describes it as "Ancyromonadida sp. GTor-2021b large subunit ribosomal RNA". It matches the Rfam family "Eukaryotic large subunit ribosomal RNA". The record is from RNAcentral. Lineage: Eukaryota; Ancyromonadida; Ancyromonadidae.
CUUCUCUCUCCUUUCUUGGACUACGCGCUGAAUUUAAGCAUAUUAAUAAGCGCAGGAGGAGAAAAUAACGAUGAUUUCCCUAGUAACGGCGAGUGAAGCGGAAAGAGGGCUUGGGCAAGGGCUGAACCCCCGGUUUCCCGAGCGGCUGAUGGGGCUUUGAGAUGGAGGGCCAAGUAUUCCUGGAAGGGAUCGCCAGAGACGGUGAAAGCCCGGUAGGCUCUGUGUUUUGAAGUUCUGUUUUGGCUGCUGAGCGAGUCGCAGUUCUUGGGAGUGAACUGCAAAGGGCGCGUAAUUCCGCGCCAACCCUAAAUAUAGAACCAGAGACCGAUAGCGAAAAAGUACUGUGAAGGAAAGAUGAAAAGAACUUUGAAAAGAGAGUGAAAAGUGCCUGAAAUUGUUAGACAGGAAGGGAUGACUGGAGGGGGGUGGGGGCUGGGGUGGUGUUGGUUUGGUGGGGAGGGGUGGUGUGUUUGUUAUGAACCACCUAAUCUCUUUGCUAAUCUGGCUUGCCCUGGCUCUUGGCUGGUGGGGAUGAGGAGUUUGUCUGCGUUUGGGAGAGAUAGUGCUGGGGUGACUCGGCAUGUUAUAAGCCUGAACUGAGAGAAUGAAUUGCUUAUCUUGAAUGGGUUUUUGUCAUGAUUGACGGGGGGAGGGGGGGGGAGUUUGGUUGGUUUGUUGUGGACUUUAAAAAAGUGUUCGAUGACCCAGCUAGACCUUUUUCUCUUUCUCUCAAAAAACUGUCACCAGAACUUUUAAAAGCCCCUGUUGUUGUCCACCCGUCUUGAAACACGGAUCAAGGAGUCUGUUUUUGUUGCAAGUCUUAUGGUGCUUUAAACCAUGGGGCGGAAUGAAAGUGAAAGCUUUGAGCUUUGGUGGGACGGUGGAGAAUGAACUCUCUACCCGCACCAUCGGCCGACCGUGCGUCUUUGACAAAAGGUUUGAGUAGAAGCAACACAAACGGGACCCGAAAGAUGGUGAUCUAAACUCGACUAGGGCGAAGGCAAAGGAAACUUUGCUGGAGGCUCGAAUCCGUUCUGACGUGCAAAUCGAUGGUCGAAUAUUGAGUUUAGGGGCGAAAGACUAAUCGAACCAUCUGGUAGCUGGUUCCCUCCGAAGUUUCCCUCAGGAUAGCGGUCUGUUGAAAGAAAAAAGUUCUAUGUGGUCAAGCGAAUGAUUAGAAGAUUGGGGGAGAGUAUCUCCUCCACUUAUUCUCAAACUUUAAAUGCGUAGGAUUGUGCAGUUGCUUGAGUGAACUGUGCAAGGGAAUUUGACGGAUCAGUGGGCCAAUUAUGGUAAGCAGAAUUGGCGAUGCGGGAUGAACCGAUCGCCUCGUUAAAGUGCCCGACGGAGAGCUCAAAGAUCCCAUAAACGGCGUUGCCAGAUACAGACAGCAGGUCGGUGGCCAUGGAAGUCGGAACCCGCUAAGAAGUGUGUAACAACUUACCUGCCGAAUUUGGUAGCCCGGAAAAUGGAUGGCGCUUAAGCUCUAGACUUAUACGAGGCGAAGAGAUCUAGAGUAUGGUCUCUUCAGUAGGAGGGCGUGGGGAGAUUUUUUAUUUGUUUCGAAGGAUUGGAGUGAUCCAGUCUGGAACUCUCCCUAGUGCAGAUCUUGGUGGUAGUAGCAAUUAUUAAGGUGGGAAACUUUAAGGCUGAUGCGAGGAAGGGUUUCGAGCGAACCGUAUUGGUACUCGAGUGAGGCGAUCCUAAUCUGGGGGACGAGAGUCCUGAAAAAGGAGUGUAGAGGAUGGAUUGUGGGUCUGUGUGACUGCGAUUCUGAGAAUAGCUCUUCCUGAAACACCAGAGAAAGGGAAUCCGGCUGACAUUCCGGACCAAAGUUUUUAAAGGGUGGUAUUGAAGGUUUGAGAGGCUGUGAAAGGUCUCCCGGACUUGCAUAAAUUCGCGGCAACGCUUUGUUGGCUCGGAAACGUGGGCUCGCGUCUCGGGAAGAGUUCUCUUUUCUUUGAAAGUCUGUUUGAAGUUACUCUGGGGAGCCAAAUGCAAAUACUGUGCUCCUUGGGAGGGCGGAAGGCGCUUAGCGCGAGAAGCCUCUCCCAGCAGACCAAGCCGCCUUGGCGCUCUUUGCCAAGACCGCGCCGGGACACGCGAGAUCCCACCCAUGAAAAUCAGAGCCAAAAGGAACACGGAACAGCCACAAACUUUGUCGUACCCAUCACCGCAGCAGGUCCUCGAGUUGAACAAACUCUAGUCGAAUGAAUAAACGUGGGCGAGGGAAGUCGGCAAAAUAGAUCCGUAACUUUGGGAAAAGGGUUGGCUCUGAAGAUAUAGGGGGGCGGGGUGGGGUGGGUGCGGUGGGGGGUGGUUGGUUUUUGCAAAAGAACCGGUCCCCCCUAUCUCACUCACAUUCACACAAAACCCACCUCCCACAAAAUAUCGCUUCGGAACUAGUAUGGACAAGGGGAAUCCGACAGUUUAAUUAAAACUUAGCUUUGUGAGGGGGCGUGAGCCUGUUGACACAAAGUGAUUUCUGCCCAGUGCUCUGAAUGUCAAUGUGAAGAGAUUCACCUAAGCGCGGGUAAACGGCGGGAGUAACUAUGACUCUCUUAAGGUAGCCAAAUGCCUCGUCAUCUGUGAGUUAAAAAAAAAAGAAGGAGCAUGAUUGAUAGUAAAAAAAACAAGACUAACUUGACUAUUAUUUAUAGAAUUAGUGACGCGCAUGAAUGGAUUAACGCGAUUCCCACUGUCCCCGCUCACAAUUCAGCGAAACCACAGCCAAGGGAACGGGCUUGGAAAAGACGGCGGGGAAAGAAGACCCUGUUGAGCUUGACUCUAAUCUGCAACUGUGAAGCGAAUUCGCGGGUGUAGUGUAGGAGUGAAUUUGGGGCGACCCGGCAUUGAAACACCUCCACCGCGAACUUUGCUUUACUUACUCGAGAGACGGGAGAGAUGGUGUGAACCGUUUUUCUGGAUCCAAGUUGAUUUACUUUGACAAUCCCUAUCGGGAACAGUUGCUGGCGGGGAGUUUGGCUGGGGCGGCACAACCACAAAAAGAUAACGUGGUUGUCCAAAGCGGAGCUCAAAAAGAACAGAAAUCUUUUGUUGACCAAAAGGGGAAAAGCUCCGUUGAUUUUGCGUUUCAGUAGGACGACAAACUGUGAAAGCAUGGCCUAUCGAUCCUUUUGCUUUGAGGAAUUCAAUGAAGAGGUGUCAGAAAAGUUACCACAGGUAAAAUUUAAAGACUGACCGGGCGAAGCCCCGUUCCCCUUGAUACUCUAGAAAGCUCUUUAGCUCUUUACUAACGAAAAAACCAACCACAGGGAUAACUGGCUUGUGGCAGCCAAGCGUUCAUAGCGACGUUGCUUUUUGAUCCUUCGAUGUCGGCUCUUCCUAUCAUUGGCCCGCAGUCGAGCCAAAGUGUCGGAUUGUUCACCCGCUAAUAGGGAACGUGAGGUAAAAAAAAAAUUGAUGUUCUUUUUCUAGAAGACUUGUACAUGUAGCAAUUGCUAACGUCAUCAUCUAUUUAUAGCUGGGUUUAGACCGUCGUGAGACAGGUUAGUUUUACCCUACUGUCGAGAUUAUUUGCAAAACAUUCAGAGAGGACCAAAUUUAAGUACGAGAGGAACCACUUUGGCGCGCAGUUAGUAACGCGGUUCUUUGAAAGAAGAGUGCCGCAAAGCCACGCGCGCUGCGCUAAUAGCUGAAAGCCUCUAAGCUAGAAGCGUGUCUUGAUUGUGAGAGUGUUUUUGUUGAUUGGGGUGUGGGACGUCUAGGAGCGCAAGCUCUUGUAGCCCGACUGUGCCGUUGAAAGAUUGCAAGGUCUAGUUCGUUAAUACAAGCCUCCAAUCAGUGCCUUCCUUUUCGGGAACACCACCCGACGCUCUUUUUCAUGGGCUGUACGCGGCAGAGAAAGCUUGUUCUUUCGAUCCGCUGAGGCUGCAGAUCGGAAGAGCGUCGUGU